UGGAGAAGCAGGGCACGUGCAAUACUAACUCACACACAAACAAGACGUUUUCAGACACCUUCACACGCGUGAAAGAGUUAGUUCUUCAUGUGCCCAUCUUCGCCA
This 105-nucleotide microRNA precursor is filed under the name Salvia sclarea (clary). RNAcentral describes it as "miR164a stem-loop (ssl-MIR164a)". Its record names the gene ssl-MIR164a. The record is from miRBase by way of RNAcentral. Lineage: Eukaryota; Viridiplantae; Streptophyta; Magnoliopsida; Lamiales; Lamiaceae.